CUUUAAAGAAAGCGUAAUAGCUCACUAGUCGAGUCGGCCUGCGCGGAAGAUUUAACGGGGCUAAACUGAUAACCGAAGCUGCGGACGCAUACUUGUAUGCGUGGUAGAGGAGCGUUCUGUAAGCCGUUGAAGGUGCAUUGUAAAGUGUGCUGGAGGUAUCAGAAGUGCGAAUGCUGACGUGAGUAACGAUAAAGCGGGUGAAAAACCCGCUCGCCGGAAGAUCAAGGUUUCCUGUCCAACGCUAAUCGGGACAGGGUUAGUCGGUACCUAAGGCGAGGCCGAAAGGCGUAGUCGAUGGAAAACAGGUUAAUAUUCCUGUACCGCUAUAUACUGCGAUGGGGGGACGGAGAAGGCUAGGUGAUCAGGGCGAUGGUUGUCCCUGUACAAGCUUGUAGGGAGAUCUCUUAGGUAAAUCCGGGAGAUCAUUAUCCUGAGGAGUGAUGUCGAGCUCAAUUGCGAGCGAAGUCAUUAAUGCCAUGCUUCCAAGAAAAGCCUCUAAGCUUCAGGUAUAUAGAGACCGUACUCCAAACCGACACAGGUGAUCAGGUAGAGAAUACCAAGGCGCUUGAGAGAACUAUGGUGAAGGAACUAGGCAAAAUGGUGCCGUAACUUCGGGAGAAGGCACGCCGAUUUUGGUGAUGGGAUUUACUCCCUAAGCUGAGGUUGGCCGCAGAGACCAGGCCCCUGCGACUGUUUAUCUAAAACACAGCACUCUGCAAACUCGUAAGAGGAAGUAUAGGGUGUGACGCCUGCCCGGUGCCGGAAGGUUAAUUGAUGGGGUUAGCUUCGGCGAAGCUCUUGAUCGAAGCCCCGGUAAACGGCGGCCGUAACUAUAACGGUCCUAAGGUAGCGAAAUUCCUUGUCGGGUAAGUUCCGACCUGCACGAAUGGCGUAACGACGGGGGCGCUGUCUCCACCAUAGACUCAGUGAAAUCGAAAUCGCGGUGAAGAUGCCGUGUUCCCGCGGCUAGACGGAAAGACCCCGUGAACCUUUACUAUAGCUUGGCACUGAACUUUGAAUCUAUCUGUGUAGGAUAGGUGGGAGGCUUUGAAGCGUUAUCGCUAGAUAGCGUGGAGCCACCCUUGAAAUACCACCCUGGUAUAUUUGAGGUUCUAACUCUGACCCAUUAUCUGGGUCGAGGACAGUGUCUGGUGGGUAGUUUGACUGGGGCGGUCUCCUCCCAAAGAGUAACGGAGGAGCGCGAAGGUACACUCAGCAUGGUCGGAAAUCAUGCUAUGAGCGCAAAGGUAGAAGUGUGCUUGACUGCGAGACUGACACGUCGAGCAGGUACGAAAGUAGGUCUUAGUGAUCCGGUGGUUCUGUAUGGAAGGGCCAUCGCUCAACGGAUAAAAGGUACUCCGGGGAUAACAGGCUGAUA
This 1378-nucleotide ribosomal RNA is filed under the name seawater metagenome. Its description in RNAcentral is "bacterial LSU rRNA". It matches the Rfam family "Bacterial large subunit ribosomal RNA", at positions 1121 to 2487 of the family's 2925-position model. The record is from RNAcentral.